CCGACCAUAGCUCAGUUGGUAGAGCAUGGGACUGUAGAAGCAUAGUAAUCCCAGGGUCACCGGUUCAAAUCCGGUUGGUCGGA
Molecule: non-coding RNA, 83 nt
Organism: Stentor coeruleus
Lineage: Eukaryota; Ciliophora; Heterotrichea; Heterotrichida; Stentoridae
Source: Rfam